GAUGAACGCUGGCGGCGUGCCUAAUACAUGCAAGUCGAGCGAACAGAUAAGGAGCUUGCUCCUUUGACGUUAGCGGCGGACGGGUGAGUAACACGUGGGUAACCUACCUAUAAGACUGGAAUAACUCCGGGAAACCGGGGCUAAUGCCGGAUAACAUUUAGAACCGCAUGGUUCUAAAGUGAAAGAUGGUUUUGCUAUCACUUAUAGAUGGACCCGCGCCGUAUUAGCUAGUUGGUAAGGUAACGGCUUACCAAGGCAACGAUACGUAGCCGACCUGAGAGGGUGAUCGGCCACACUGGAACUGAGACACGGUCCAGACUCCUACGGGAGGCAGCAGUAGGGAAUCUUCCGCAAUGGGCGAAAGCCUGACGGAGCAACGCCGCGUGAGUGAUGAAGGUCUUAGGAUCGUAAAACUCUGUUAUUAGGGAAGAACAAAUGUGUAAGUAACUGUGCACGUCUUGACGGUACCUAAUCAGAAAGCCACGGCUAACUACGUG
RNAcentral lists this ribosomal RNA (497 nucleotides) under uncultured bacterium. RNAcentral describes it as "partial 16S ribosomal RNA". It matches the Rfam family "Bacterial small subunit ribosomal RNA", at positions 28 to 507 of the family's 1533-position model. The record is from RNAcentral.